RNAcentral lists this ribosomal RNA (1461 nucleotides) under uncultured Eubacteriales bacterium. Its description in RNAcentral is "uncultured Clostridiales bacterium partial 16S rRNA". It matches the Rfam family "Bacterial small subunit ribosomal RNA", at positions 28 to 1380 of the family's 1533-position model. The record is from RNAcentral. Lineage: Bacteria; Bacillati; Bacillota; Clostridia; Eubacteriales.
GACGAACGCUGGCGGCGCGCCUGACACAUGCAAGUCGAGCGGAAUGGGGUGCUUGCACUUCAUUUAGCGGCGAACGGGUGAGUAAUGCGUAGGUAAUCUACCUGCCAGUGGGGAAUAACCGUCUUAAUCGGCGGCUAAUACCGCAUACGUCGAGAAUUCGCAUGAAUUUUUCGGGAAAGGAACAGAUUUUACGGAAGUUGGAUUUGGCAAGACGAAUAAUGAGCAAAGAACCUCCGGAGUAGUCGAUGUGCGAUAGGUGUUCAUUUUGCCUUUUGUUGUUUUGUAUUUUUGGUUUCUUAUAAAGUUGUUUCGCUGGCAGAGGGGCCUACGUCCGAUUAGCCAGUUGGUGGGGUAAUGGCCUACCAAAGCUUCGAUCGGUAGCCGAACUGAGAGGUUCAACGGCCACAUUGGGACUGAGACACGGCCCAAACUCCUAUGGGAGGCAGCAGUGAGGAAUAUUGCGCAAUGGAGGAAACUCUGACGCAGCGACGCCGCGUGGGGGACGAAGGUUUCACAACUGUAAACCCCUGUCCUCGGGGAAGAAGAAAGUGACGGUACUCGGGGAGGAAGCCCCGGCUAACUACGUGCCAGCAGCCGCGGUAAUACGUAGGGGGCAAGCGUUGUCCAAAUUUAUUGGGUGUAAAGGGUGUGUAGGCGGUCCGCCCAGUCAGAAGUAAAAUACUGAAGCUUAACUUCAGUGACGCGUCUGAUACUAGUGGACUAGAAUGGAGUAGAGGUAAGCGGAAUUUCCGGUGUAGCGGUGAAAUGCGCAGAUAUCGGAAGGAACACCGGUGGCGAAGGCGGCUUACUGGACUCUAAUUGACGCUGAGACACGAAAGCGUGGGGAGCAAACAGGAUUAGAUACCCUGGUAGUCCACGCCCUAAACGAUGCUUACUAGGCGUGAGAAGGUCUGACCCUUUUUGUGCCGCAGUUAACACAUUAAGUAAGCCACCUGAGGAGUACGGCCGCAAGGCUGAAACUUAAAGGAAUUGACGGGGACCCGCACAAGCAGUGGAGCAUGUGGUUUAAUUCGACGAUACGCGAAGAAUCUUACCUGGGUUUGAAAUCCGACUAACGGUAUAGAAAUAUAUUUGGUGCCUUUUCGGGGGAUGUCGGAGCAGGUGGUGCAUGGUUGUCGUCAGUUCGUGUCGUGAGAUGUUGGGUUAAGUCCCGCAACGAGCGCAACCCUUGCCGUCAUUUACUACUGGAGAGUACCAUGGCGGAACUGCCGUUUUCUAGAACGGAGGAAGGUGAGGAUGACGUCAAAUCAUUAUGCCCUUUAUGUCCAGGGCUACACACGUACUACAAUGGCCGAUACAAAAGGAUGCAAAGUCGCAAGGCGGAGCCAAACCGUAUCAAAAUCGGCCCCAGUUCGGAUUGUAGGCUGAAACCCGCCUACAUGAAGUAGGAAUUGCUAGUAAUCGCGGAUCAGAAUGUCGCGGUGAAUACGUUCUCGGGUC